UUUGUUACUUACCUUCAAAACAAAGCAACCCCCCCACUGCGAAACCGAAUAAGACAGGUCACCACUCCCACAAUUCACCUCUGCCAAUUCUAAAAGACUCAAUGUUAACAAUAAAUUACAUCUUCGUAGUCAAAAGAAAGGAAAAGCUUCCCCUAAUUCACAAAGACAACCACAUUACCUACUAAGCGAGUAACAGCAGAACCACACCGCUCCAACACUAACCGAAUAGCUCCAGCCCUUAACCUUCAUCAACGAAACAGUCGACCGAUUACCAAUAAUCCAUUAACAAAAAUACACCAAAGUUACGAAACUUACCACCAAUGCACAAAAGCACAAUAGAGAUGACAAGUUACAGUAAUAAGAAGAAGGUUAGGAAACAAGAGAGAUCGACGGCAAAAGGAAAGAAGGGAAUCGACAGAACCAAGAGAAAAAUAAAAUAAAGAAAGGAGAGGGAAAAAAAUAGCCAAAAAUCAUAGCAAUACUCUGCACCACGGAAAUAGAACAGUCGACAGGAAAAACUGAGAGAAAACCAAUGCGAAAGCCAAAAUUUGUCAGGACGGUGGAAAGAAAACUGACUCUUUUUUUCAGAAAAAAAGAAAAAUGAUUAGAUUUUGGAAAUUCUCCCCACAAAAUCCCCAAAAUUUCUCCCCCUUAUCCCUAAAUUCACUCCCACACUUCCCCAC
This 683-nucleotide long non-coding RNA is filed under the name Gossypium raimondii (Peruvian cotton). RNAcentral describes it as "long non-coding RNA (GRAI_LNC010651)". Lineage: Eukaryota; Viridiplantae; Streptophyta; Magnoliopsida; Malvales; Malvaceae. The record is from RNAcentral.